GACGAACGCUGGCGGCGUGCUUAACACAUGCAAGUCGAACGGAAAGGCCCUGCUUUUGUGGGGUGCUCGAGUGGCGAACGGGUGAGUAACACGUGAGUAACCUGCCCUUGACUUUGGGAUAACUUCAGGAAACUGGGGCUAAUACCGGAUAGGAGCUCCUGCUGCAUGGUGGGGGUUGGAAAGUUUCGGCGGUUGGGGAUGGACUCGCGGCUUAUCAGCUUGUUGGUGGGGUAGUGGCUUACCAAGGCUUUGACGGGUAGCCGGCCUGAGAGGGUGACCGGCCACUGUGGGACGGAGGACCGGCCCAGACCCCUACGGGGGGAAGAGGGGGGGAAUUGUGCACAAGGGGCGGAAGCCUGAUGCAGCAACCCCGGGGGCGGGAUGGGGGCCUUCGGGUUGAAAACCCCUUUCGCCUGGAAAGAAGGGGGGGUGAGGGUAAGGGGUAAAGAAGCACCGGCUAACUAGGU
Molecule: ribosomal RNA, 467 nt
Filed under: uncultured bacterium
Lineage: Bacteria
Description: partial 16S ribosomal RNA
Rfam family: Bacterial small subunit ribosomal RNA
Source: RNAcentral